CUUCUUCAAGUCUGAAAAAGAACCCUAAUUUUUUUUUUCCUUAAAUCCAGAAUUAGGAAGAUAAUACUGAGGAAGGGAAGAGAUAGAGAAAUACCAGGAAUAUGGUCAGUUACCAUACAAAAGUGAUGUCGAAGGCGGUCGUUGGCUCGAAGUCGGAGAUCGUCAAAGAAAUCCGAGGCGGUCAGAACUUUGGUUCUGCAGAGAGAGAGAGAGAGAGGCGGAAGAACAAAGUGAAGGACAGAGAUGAGAAAAGAAUGGGAAAAGAACUACAAAUAAGAUACAAGUGUUGGAGACUGGGAGCAUUGUGAGUUAUUUCAUAAAUUAUUUGAAUUUUUAAAAUAAAAAAAGGCAAAAGUUGGAGCAAGGAAAAGAGGGGGAGGCGAGAGAUGACAGCCCUGUCAGGUUUUAGUACGUAAAAAACAAUAAUAUAUUACCUAGCCACAAUUAUAUGCAAUUGUGAGACAAUGUCUCACCUACGAUAUCAAAUGGGGUGGGGUUCAUAUCCUAAACAGUAAAAGCUCUCACAUUUGUUAAUAAUGUGGCAAGAGAAAUGUGGCCUUUGGUCAUUGUUGUUGUGGUGUAUGUGAAUAACUUUGUCUGGAAGACUAUGUAGACGCACGAACUCAAGAAAAUCAAAAAUGCCUCUCAUAUAAACUGGGGACCCCCUCCCUAAUUGCAUUCAGCUCUUGUCCAUGUUGUACACUAUAAUAACAAGAAAUAAAAAUAUAUAAUCAAAAAAUCGUGAAUAAAAUAAAGCAAGAGAAAUAUACACACACACACACACACUUUGUUGGGAAAAUAAACAUUUACUAAAAAACAAGAAUUUUAAAGCCCAUUUCAAGGAAAAAACUUUUGAGUAACCCAUAUUAAUGUUUUAACACCUCUAACAAUUAAUAUUGUACCCUUAUUGCAUUAAUUAAUUACAUGUUCUCUCUCAUAGUAAAAAAAAAAAAAAAAAAAAAAAAAAUUAAAACCACGUUCUCCCAGAUUCCCACUCUCCACGAUCAACCGAACUCUCACCUCUGUCACUCUCUCUAUCUC
Molecule: long non-coding RNA, 1041 nt
Filed under: Fragaria vesca (wild strawberry)
Lineage: Eukaryota; Viridiplantae; Streptophyta; Magnoliopsida; Rosales; Rosaceae
Description: long non-coding RNA (FVES_LNC002689)
Source: RNAcentral